RNAcentral lists this ribosomal RNA (253 nucleotides) under uncultured bacterium. Its description in RNAcentral is "partial 16S ribosomal RNA". It matches the Rfam family "Bacterial small subunit ribosomal RNA", at positions 524 to 776 of the family's 1533-position model. The record is from RNAcentral.
UACAGGGGGGGCAAGCGUUGUUCGGAAUUACUGGGCGUAAAGGGUCUGUAGGUGGCCAACUAAGUCAUCCGUGAAAUCCCUCAGCUUAACUGGGGAACUGCGUGUGAUACUGGUCGGCUUGAGUGCAGGAGAGGAACGCGGAAUUCCAGGUGUAGCGGUGAAAUGCGUAGAUAUCAGGAGGAACACCGAUGGCGAAGGCAGGUCUCUGGGCCACUACUGACGCUGAGAAGCGAAAGCAUGGGGAGCGAACAGG